GUGCUCACUUUUGCAGCACAUAUACUAAAAUUGGAAUGAUACAGAGAAGAUUAGCAUGGGCCCUGAACAAGGAUGACAUGCAAAUUCAUGAAGUGUUUCUUAUUUUU
Molecule: small nuclear RNA, 107 nt
Organism: Balaenoptera musculus (blue whale)
Lineage: Eukaryota; Metazoa; Chordata; Mammalia; Artiodactyla; Balaenopteridae
Source: Ensembl